This 426-nucleotide ribosomal RNA is filed under the name Klebsiella pneumoniae. RNAcentral describes it as "bacterial SSU rRNA". It matches the Rfam family "Bacterial small subunit ribosomal RNA", at positions 198 to 605 of the family's 1533-position model. Lineage: Bacteria; Pseudomonadati; Pseudomonadota; Gammaproteobacteria; Enterobacterales; Enterobacteriaceae. The record is from RNAcentral.
AGACCAAAGUGGGGGACCUUCGGGCCUCAUGCCAUCAGAUGUGCCCAGAUGGGAUUAGCUAGUAGGUGGGGUAACGGCUCACCUAGGCGACGAUCCCUAGCUGGUCUGAGAGGAUGACCAGCCACACUGGAACUGAGACACGGUCCAGACUCCUACGGGAGGCAGCAGUGGGGAAUAUUGCACAAUGGGCGCAAGCCUGAUGCAGCCAUGCCGCGUGUGUGAAGAAGGCCUUCGGGUUGUAAAGCACUUUCAGCGGGGAGGAAGGCGUUAAGGUUAAUAACCUUGUCGAUUGACGUUACCCGCAGAAGAAGCACCGGCUAACUCCGUGCCAGCAGCCGCGGUAAUACGGAGGGUGCAAGCGUUAAUCGGAAUUACUGGGCGUAAAGCGCACGCAGGCGCUCUGUCAAGUCGGAUGUGAAAUCCCCG